GGUUUGUGGCUCAGAGGUAUAGCACUCACCUAGCAUGCGUGAGGCACUGGGUUUGAUCCUCAGCACCA
This 68-nucleotide transfer RNA is filed under the name Marmota monax (woodchuck). Its description in RNAcentral is "tRNA.Ala". The record is from RNAcentral. Lineage: Eukaryota; Metazoa; Chordata; Mammalia; Rodentia; Sciuridae.